Marmota marmota marmota (Alpine marmot) is the source of this 104-nucleotide small nuclear RNA. NCBI's taxonomy places the organism in Eukaryota, Metazoa, Chordata, Mammalia, Rodentia, Sciuridae. The record is from Ensembl.
GAGCUUGCUUUGGCAGUACAUACACUAAAAUUGAAAAGAUAAACGGAAGAUUAGCAUGAUUCCUGGACAAGGAUGACACAUUUUUUUUUUAAUUCCAUAUUUUU